Molecule: ribosomal RNA, 2898 nt
Filed under: Clostridioides difficile
Lineage: Bacteria; Bacillati; Bacillota; Clostridia; Peptostreptococcales; Peptostreptococcaceae
Description: 23S ribosomal RNA
Rfam family: Bacterial large subunit ribosomal RNA
Source: RNAcentral
GGUCAAGUUAUUAAGGGUGUAGGGCGGAUGCCUUGGCACUAGGAGCCGAUGAAGGACGUGAUAAGCUGCGAUAAGCUUCGGGGAGUUGCACGUAAACUUUGAUCCGAAGAUUUCCGAAUGAGGAAACUCACUUAGAGUAAUGUCUAAGUAUCAUUAAGUGAAUACAUAGCUUAAUGAGGGGAACUCAGGGAACUGAAACAUCUAAGUACCUGAAGGAAGAGAAAGAAAUUCGAUUCCGUAAGUAGCGGCGAGCGAACGCGGAUUAGCCCAAACCAAUAAAGUUUUCUUUGUUGGGGUUGCGGACAUAUCAUAACGAAGAGGUAUCGUAAUUGAAGAGGUUUGGAAAGACCCACCACAGAAGGUAAUAGUCCUGUAUGUUAAACGAGAAGACUUUAGAUAUGAUCCAGAGUACCACGGGACACGUGAAACCCUGUGGGAAGCAGGAGGGACCACCCUCCAAGGCUAAAUACUACCUAGUGACCGAUAGCGUAUAGUACCGUGAGGGAAAGGUGAAAAGAACCCCGGGAGGGGAGUGAAAUAGAACCUGAAACCCUGCACUUACAAGCUGUGGAAGCACAUUUCUUGUGUGACCGCGUACUUUUUGUAGAACGGGCCAACGAGUUACGUUAAGUAGCAAGGUUAAGCACUUAAGGUGCGGAGCCGUAGCGAAAGCGAGUUUUAACUGAGCGUUCAGUUACUUGACGUAGACCCGAAACCGGGCGACCUACCCAUGAGCAGGAUGAAGCGAAAGUAAAAUUUCGUGGAGGUCCGAACCCACGAGCGUUGAAAAGCUCGGGGAUGACUUGUGGGUAGCGGUGAAAUUCCAAUCGAGCCCGGAGAUAGCUGGUUCUCCCCGAAAUAGCUUUAGGGCUAGCCUCAAGGUGAGAGAUACGGAGGUAGAGCACUGAAUGUCCUAGGGGGUAUUGCACCUACCGAAGACUAUCAAACUCCGAAUGCCGUCAUCUUAUACUUGGGAGUCAGACUGUGGGUGAUAAGAUUCAUAGUCGAAAGGGCAACAGCCCAGAUCGUCAGCUAAGGUCCCUAAAUGUAAGUUAAGUGGUAAAGGAUGUGGGAUUGCACAGACAACCAGGAUGUUGGCUUAGAAGCAGCCACUCAUUCAAAGAGUGCGUAAUAGCUCACUGGUCGAGUGAUCCUGCGCCGAAGAUUUCCGGGGCUAAAACUUACUACCGAAGCUACGGCAUCAGUAAUGAUGGGUAGGGGAGCUUCCCAUACGGGUUGAAGCAUGACCGUAAGGACAUGUGGACAGUAUGGGAGUGAGAAUGUUGGCAUGAGUAGCGAGAUGUGGGUGAGAAUCCCACAGGCCGUAAACCCAAGGUUUCCAGGGGAAGGUUCGUCCGCCCUGGGUUAGUCGGGACCUAAGCUGAGGCCGAAAGGCGUAGGUGAUGGACAACAGGUUGAUAUUCCUGUACUACCGAUAACCGUUUGAGAGAAGGGAUGACACAGUAGGAUAAGCUAAGCACACUGUUGGUUAUGUGUGCCCAAGCAUUGAGGCAGUCAAAGUAGGCAAAUCCGCUUUGAUAAUGCUGGGAUGUGAUGGGGAGCGAAAUUUAGUAGCGAAGUAGCUGAUUUCACACUGUCAAGAAAAGUCUCUAUCGAGGUUAAAGGUACCCGUACCGCAAACCGACACAGGUGGGUGAGGAGAGUAUCCUAAGGCCAGCGAGAGAACUGUUGUUAAGGAACUCGGCAAAAUGACCCCGUAACUUAGGGAUAAGGGGUGCCACCAUCAGGUGGCCGCAGAGAAUAGGCCCAAGCGACUGUUUACCAAAAACAUAGGUUUCUGCUAAGUCGCAAGACGAUGUAUAGGAGCUGACGCCUGCCCGGUGCUGGAAGGUUAAGGGGAUCUGUUAGAGCAAUCGAAGCAGUGAACUUAAGCCCCAGUAAACGGCGGCCGUAACUAUAACGGUCCUAAGGUAGCGAAAUUCCUUGUCGGGUAAGUUCCGACCCGCACGAAAGGCGUAACGAUUUGGGCACUGUCUCAACAACAGACUCGGUGAAAUUGUAAUUCCGGUGAAGAUGCCGGAUACCUGCGACAGGACGGAAAGACCCCAUGGAGCUUUACUGUAGCUUGACAUUGGGUCUUGGUACUACAUGUACAGGAUAGGUGGGAGGCUUUGAAACCAGGACGCCAGUUUUGGCGGAGCCAUCCUUGGGAUACCACCCUUGUAGUACUGGGACUCUAACCAUAGGCCAUGAAUCUGGUCUUGGGACACUGUCAGGUGGGCAGUUUGACUGGGGCGGUCGCCUCCCAAAAGGUAACGGAGGCGCUCAAAGGUUCUCUCAGUACGGUCGGAAAUCGUACGUAGAGUGUAAAGGCAAAAGAGAGCUUGAUUGCAAGACAUACAGGUCGAGCAAGGAUGAAAAUCGGACUUAGUGAUCCGGUGGUUCUGCGUGGAAGGGCCAUCGCUCAACGGAUAAAAGCUACCCUGGGGAUAACAGGCUUAUCUCCCCCAAGAGUCCACAUCGACGGGGAGGUUUGGCACCUCGAUGUCGGCUCAUCACAUCCUGGGGCUGUAGUAGGUCCCAAGGGUUGGGCUGUUCGCCCAUUAAAGUGGUACGCGAGCUGGGUUCAGAACGUCGUGAGACAGUUCGGUCCCUAUCCGUCGCAGGCGUAGGAAAUUUGAGAAGACCUGUCCUUAGUACGAGAGGACCGGGAUGGACGUACCUCUGGUGUACCAGUUGUCCUGCCAAGGGCAUGGCUGGGUAGCUAUGUACGGAAUGGAUAAGCGCUGAAAGCAUCUAAGCGCGAAGCCAACUUCAAGAUAAGAUUUCCCACCGCAAGGGUAAGACCCCAGAAAGACUAUCUGGUUGAUAGGUCGAAGGUGUAAGUGCAGCAAUGUAUUUAGCUUAUCGAUACUAAUAGGUCGAGGACUUGACCAA